RNAcentral lists this long non-coding RNA (409 nucleotides) under Zostera marina. RNAcentral describes it as "long non-coding RNA (ZMAR_LNC004892)". Lineage: Eukaryota; Viridiplantae; Streptophyta; Magnoliopsida; Alismatales; Zosteraceae. The record is from RNAcentral.
CCUAACAGAAGAUUCUCCUUCAGAGACUCGAUGACUAAUUUCUCAUCUUCCGAAGGGGCGGAGAUCAACUUCCUGGUGAGUCCACGUGCCGCAGAGGAAAUGGUUCGGGCGAUGGAGAAGGCGAUGGAGAAAAGAGAGGCGAUUGUUUUAGUCGAUUCCGAUAUGAAAAUUUGCGGUUCGGAAGGAGAAAGAGAUGGAGAUGCCGCUGAUCUAGGGUUUAUGGAUCGGAAACGGAUUGACAUGGGAGAGGGACGGGAGUGGAGAGGAAGACGGAGAGACGGAGGAGAGAUGAAUUUAUAGUUAGUGUUUGCGAGACGAUUGGUGGAGACAGAGACGGCAGUCGCGGCGGAAAUCACUGUUCUGGUGGCCAUCGAAAGAGCCAAGGGGGGCACCGGAAGAGAUAAGGCCG